CCGUAUUAAGGGCUAAUUCGUUGAUGAUUUUGACCUUUUGUGGUAUAAAUAGCCCGCUUUUUAAAAUACACACACGCUUCGUCACAUACGACAGGGUCCCACAAGGGUGCCGUAUGGGAAGUGUGGAGGCCUAACC
This 136-nucleotide unclassified non-coding RNA is filed under the name Legionella micdadei. Its description in RNAcentral is "Tatlockia micdadei t44". The stretch from base 51 to 135 matches the Rfam family "t44 RNA". From Rfam's summary of the family: This family consists of a number of bacterial RNA genes of between 135 and 170 bases in length. The t44 gene is found between the map and rpsB genes in all species in the full alignment apart from Shigella flexneri. Lineage: Bacteria; Pseudomonadati; Pseudomonadota; Gammaproteobacteria; Legionellales; Legionellaceae. The record is from RNAcentral.